AGUUUGAUUAUGGCUCAGAUUGAACGCUGGCAGGAUGCUACACAUGCAAGUCGAACGGCAGCACGGACUUCGGUCUGGUGGCGUGGCGAACGGGUGAGUAAUGUAUCAGGAACGUGCCUAGUAGCGGGGGAUAACUACGCGAAAGCGUAGCUAAUACCACAUACGCCCUUCGGGGGAAAGCGGGGACCUUCGGGCCUCGCACUAUUAGAGCGGCCGAUAUCGGAUUAGCUAGUUGGUGGGAACAACGGCUCACCAAGGCGACGAUCCGUAGCUGGUUUGAGAGGACGACCAGCCACACUGGGACUGAGACACGGCCCAGACUCCUACGGGAGGCAGCAGUGGGGGAAUUUUUGGACAAUGGAAACCGGAUGUUGAGCCAUCCGCGUGGUGCGAUCUGAAGCCUUUGGGUUGCAGCAUUUUGUGUGGAAGAACAGCAGAUUAAUACCGUUACAUUUGGCGUUACCUGCUGGAUAAGCACCGACUAACUACAUUAGCGGCGCGGUAUUACAUAGGGAUGCGCAGCGACCAAUCGGAAUUACUGGCUGGAAAGCGAUGCAUGCGUGGGCUGCGGACGGAAGGGGCUCGGAAGAGAUGUAGAUCGAACAACGGAACUGCAUUUUUAACUACCGAGCUAGAGUGUGUCAGAGGGAGGUGGAAUUCCGCGUGUAGCAGUGAAAUGCGUAGAUAUGCGGAGGAACACCGAUGGCGAAGGCAGCCUCCUGGGAUAACACUGACGCUCAUGCACGAAAGCGUGGGAGCAAACGGGAUUAGAUACCCUGGUAGUCCACGCCCUAAACGAUGUCAACUAGCUGUUGGGGCCUUCGGGCCUUGGUAGCGCAGCUAACGCGUGAAGUUGACCGCCUGGGAGUACGGUCGCAAGAUUAAAACUCAAAGGAAUUGACGGGGACCCGCACAAGCGGUGGAUGAUGUGGUUAAUUCGAUGCAACGCGAAAAACCUUACCUACCCUUGACAUGUCUGGAAUCCCGAAGAGAUUUGGGAGUGCUCGCAAGAGAACCGGAACACAGGUGCUGCAUGGCUGUCGUCAGCUCGUGUCGUGAGAUGUUGGAGUUAAGUCCCGCAACGAGCGCAACCCUUGUCAUUAGUUGCUACGAAGGGCACUCUAAUGAGACUGCCGGUGACAAACCGGAGGAAGGUGGGGAUGACGUCAAGUCCUCAUGGCCCUUAUGGGUAGGGCUUCACACGUCAUACAAUGGUCGGGACAGAGGGUCGCCAACCCGCGAGGGGGAGCCAAUCCCAGAAACCCGAUCGUAGUCCGGAUCGCAGUCUGCAACUCGACUGCGUGAAGUCGGAAUCGCUAGUAAUCGCGGAUCAGCAUGUCGCGGUGAAUACGUUCCCGGGUCUUGUGCACCGCCCGUCACACCAUGGAGUGGGUUUUACCGAAGUAGUUAGCCUAACCGUAAGGAGGGCGAUUACCACGGUAGGAUUCAUGACUGGGGGUGAAGUCGUAACAAGGUAA
RNAcentral lists this ribosomal RNA (1478 nucleotides) under uncultured Bordetella sp. RNAcentral describes it as "partial 16S-23S ribosomal RNA intergenic spacer". It matches the Rfam family "Bacterial small subunit ribosomal RNA". The record is from RNAcentral. Lineage: Bacteria; Pseudomonadati; Pseudomonadota; Betaproteobacteria; Burkholderiales; Alcaligenaceae.